Molecule: ribosomal RNA, 301 nt
Filed under: uncultured bacterium
Lineage: Bacteria
Description: partial 16S ribosomal RNA
Rfam family: Bacterial small subunit ribosomal RNA
Source: RNAcentral
CAGUCGCCGCGGUAAUACGUAGGUGGCAAGCGUUGUCCGGAAUUAUUGGGCGUAAAGGGCUCGCAGGCGGUUUCCUAAGUCUGAUGUGAAAGCCCCCGGCUCAACCGGGGAGGGUCAUGGAAACUGGGUAACUUGAGUGCAGAAGAGGAGAGUGGAAUUCCACGUGUAGCGGUGAAAUGCGUAGAGAUGUGGAGGAACACCAGUGGCGAAGGCGACUCUCUGGUCUGUAACUGACGCUGAGGAGCGAAAGCGUGGGGAGCGAACAGGAUUAGAGACCCCAGUAGUCCCUGUCUCUUAUACC